GCCGACUGCAGCACGGCUCUGCUCGGCUGCCAGCGAGGCAUGAUGAUGGGCUGAUAAAGCUCUCAGCUGCACAGACAAAUAGAAAAGGAGACGCUAAGACGAAAAGGUAGAUAAUUUAUCCCAGAGUGAGGGACCUGUGUGAUGGGCGCUGGGACAGAAGAAGAGCGGCAGAGACUGUCUCCACUCAGAUAUACUCAGCCAUGUUCAGCACUGUGCACCUUUACCUGCUUGUGAAAUGCUGUCAUCAACAACAACCCACAUGCUCUACAAACCAUGUGCUACAGUCCAGACACCACCUGCUGUAUCCCUCUCCUGGAGAUAUGAGGAAUAAAAAUAUACCUGCUCCCCGUCACAGCUGCACCUCCGAGAUAAGUGGCACACACAACCCUGAGUGGAGGGAAGGGGGGAAAAAAGCCAUAUAUUUAAAUUUGAAAUGUGGAGUUUCACAGGUGAGGAGACGCGACACGGUUUGAAGAUGAGCGACGCAGCACAUUUCACAUUUCACUGAGCAGAUAAUUAAGCUUUCAGCAUGAAUGUUCAGAGUUAAUUUAAGGGGACAAAACAAGAGCUCUCCACGUUUACAUGAGUGAAGGGUUGGAAGUGUGGGGUUUUACAACUCUGAACUGUGAUUAACCAGGAAAGCUUCUAAAAUUAAAGGCGUCCUUCUUUGUUUUUCAAUCAUCAUGUCAUCCUGGGUCUAAGUCAGACUUUUUUAACAUGCAAAUCUGAAUGAUCCUCUGCUGUCAACUGUCAUGUUAUUAACCUGAUUUGAGACAUUUCGUCUCUUCAGAGGACUGUGUCACACUUAACUCGAGAACACUGUCAUCUUUUAUUUCUGAAGAAGCAAUUACAGUAUACUGUAUAUAUUUGAAUCACGCAGCAUACUGAAUAUAUCAGACACCACUUUAAGAGUGUGAUGUCCGUAUCCAUAGACUGAAAUAGGCCAAAAGGUUUCCUUUCUCAUCACACUCCAUAUACAAAUCCAAAAGACAGGUUUACGGAUUUCUACACUCUCACAUUAAUAUCACAGGUUCUGUUCUGUUCAUUGUCUUUGCAGUCUGUUAAAUUAAACAGUUUUUUUUUGUUUAGAAUUGUGUGUGUUGCUACAUUUUGACACAACACUGUUCUAAAUGAGGCGUGGCCAAUUGAUUUACACUGCUGUCAGUUAUUUUAAUAACAUUUUCUUUCCCUUCGAGUUACACUGCAUGCUGGGUGGAGCGUGCUUAAAUACAGAGGCUAAGUAAAUGGACCAGAUCAGCCACUGCAUCCGGAGAGGGGAAAUAAUGUGUUGUACAGAGAUUUCGUUUUCAAAUUUAAUUGGAUAAAGCUGGUAUAUAUAUAUAUAUAUAUAUAUAUAUCCUCUUGUCUCAGUUUGACAGGUCAGUUAUUUGAGGUAAUGUCCAGUUUGGUUUACAAUAUUGUUUUAAUAGUAUAUGUACCAGUUAAAGAGUAACUUGCUGUACAAUCAACAGUUUUUUUAUUCAAUCUAGUGUCUGACAUUUGUCCAUGUUUGUUUAUUCUUGACUUUCCACUUUUCUUAUUUGAGGAUUAGAAUUAUGGAUGUAAAGUUUGUGUAAUCUUUAUUAACCAAAAACACCAGAAGGAACUGUGAUGAUUUAGAAUAUAAUGUUGACACAGACACAUCACCUCAAAUAAUCACGUAUAUGCUUUUACAUGGAACAGCAAGUACAGGAAACUCAGUGUAACAAAGUCAAAGGGUAAGACUGGUUUACAUUGUUUUCAUAUACAUUGUGUCCACAGUAGGCAUAAUGUAAUGUAAUGUAUUCCAUAGGCCAAGGAUGCUUUAAGACGCCAGGGUGUCUACAUUAUCAUGAUCACAUUUUCUCUAAUAAAUCUACAUAUUCUGUGUUGUUAAGGAAGAUGUUGAAAAAUGAGACACAGAUUAGCUCUGAUUUAUUUAGCUUGGUAUUGUUAGGAUCAGAUCAAAUGUGAUGUAUUAGAUUGGAAAUUUUAUCUUAGGCUGUUUUGAUGUUGUUUUUCUCUCUCUCUUCCCAGCCCACCCACUGUCAUAAAUAACUGUAUAAUAAAUCAAUCCCUACCUAUUCUUCUGGGCCACUCAAUAUGUAUGUGGUGUGACAGGCUCGGCUGAGACUCGGAUCAUAUAUCUACUGAGAUGAUGGGAGAAUAAAUCACAGCUUUUACAGUAGCAGGCUGGCCAAGGCUAGAGAGGCCGUCACUCUUCAGUCCCCCCUCCCUCUCCCUCAGCAAGGAUUUCUCCCCCUAUCAUUCUCUUUUUCAGGCUCUCUCCCCCAGGGUGGCCCAUUUGUAACUCAGAAAUGAUGUCCUUUCAGGUGCAUAGCCCCUAUUUCUUCUUUGUCCUGCACCCAACUGGUUUAACUGUGCUCUUCAGAGCAUUUUAACAUCAAUGUAUGACUGUCACAGUCAUUUUACAAAUUAGCAUAAUUGCCAUGGUGAACUCAGCCAUUGUCCUUUCCAUACGGAAGCACCAGGUCUAACUUGGCAGGAGCUCUGCUGGUUGGUUUUACUUCACAAAGAUACAGAAGACUGUUUACACUUUACAGGGAAUCCACAACUUUAUUUGACCUCCAUCUUGCCAUCUCUAUAUUAGUCUCUACAUCUGCACCAACCACAGGGCCAGUGCUUUUGUUAAGGAACCCGGAGAAUUUGAUGAGUUUAUUCCUAUUUUUUAAGUCUAUCCUAAAACAAUAUCAAUCAAUAUGUGUUCAUAUUGUAACGGACUGGUAGUUAGGAUUAUGUUCUGUUUGACUGCUAUGUGGUCGUUAUGACUUAUGUUCAGCUAAGUACACUGUUAAAUAAGUUCUGAGAUGUCCUGAGGGUCAGUGAACAGGUCGGGGUGGGGCAUGUGACAGUUCUAGACCAAUGGCUGUGGGGUUGUGUGGGAUGACAGGCUCUCAUUGGCUGGGUUGUUGGCAGGUCAGGGGUGAAGGAGGAAGGGGAGUGAAGAAGACGAAGUUGUUGUUAAGAGUGUCGGGGUUAAGAACAAGAAGUGUGACAUGUUCGGGUUGACUUUAAUAAAUUUACAAAUAAGAGAAGAAGUUCUGUGUCGUCUGUGAGGCGGGGACGUUACAAUAUUAUCAGCCAAACUCUUUAUUGUCAGUGUAACAAUUAUCCCUGGCCAUCAACAGAUCCUCCCAAAAAUAAGUUUAACCGUAAAAAUAAUUUUAGGCCGUUCGGACCAUUUUCCUUCCCAAGCCCAUGUACUUGCGUGAAACUGAAUUAACAAUACUAAUAUAGCUAUCAAUAACUUAUCACAAUUUAUUUUUGUAGCCUAUUAAAAAACAAACAAAAAAGUUGUUAUGUCCAAUUUUUGAGUGUGAAAGCAGUCUUUCCUGGAGUUCUAGUCCAAGAGCUUAAGUCCAAGUUGAAUCGCGGGUUCUGAAAAUUAGGACUCAAGUCAGACUCAAGACAAUGUCCUGGACUCAAGUACUACAAUACUAGAGACAGGUAUAUCAUCCUGGCUGUAGUUACUCUUCAACCUGAAUUAACCUGUAAGUCAGGUGGUAUCAAACGUGGUUGUACCUCCUCAGGUGGUGGGGCAGUAGGGAUGGCAAAGAAUCAAGCGCAGGCUAAUAUUUUUUCAACCACUGAAUGGACUUCCAUUUUGAAGACAUCCGUGGUCCUUUGAGGCAGAGAAUGGAGCCAUAGACAUUUGAGUGACCUUUGGCACUUCAUCUGGGGCCACCGGCAGGUCAAAUCCUCCCAUAGUUCACUUUAACAUGAACUUGUGGACUGGUCAGACAAAUUCAUGGUUCCUAUGCAAUGAAUCCUGAUGACUUGGGCUAAACCUUGUUGCAUCAGCUUCAGAUGUUCACUGGCUUUAGCACUAAUUGGUGAAUGUUAUAUGGUGGAAAUGUAAAGAUUAUACCUGCUGCAUAUCAACACAUUGACACUGUCCCUGUAAGCAUGUCAUCCUAAAGCACAGUGUCGGUGUAGCUGCAACAACCCCCUACCUUCUACAGAUGGAGACUUUCUACAUGGCUUACAACUGUCUGUUGUUUGUGCUGUCAUUUUGGUUCUCUAAACAAGAAUGACUCAAAGAGUGUCUCUACACAGGGGAGUUUUCUCACGUUUGCCUCUGUUUGGUUCCAAUGGAGUUUAUUCAGUUAAAACACUGUGGUUGGGUGAUCUUUGCCAUGUCCACCUCUGUCUUUGUAAUACCAGACCACAGGCACAGCAACAUGCAAUGCCCUUAGUUUAACAUUUUGACGUUAAUCAUUUUGAAGUUCAGAUGCCUGUGGGCACGGCUCAUCCGAUGGACUAACCCAAGGUUCUCUCCAAUUCCUUCCCUCCCUGUCUCCUCUGUCCUUUGUCCUACAGUUGAUAGCCUGCCAACUGUGAACUGCAAGAAGCACACAGCUCCCCUUUAUAUGUCUCAAAUUUGAUUAAUGGACUUUGUUUCUGCUGAACAGAGUAUUGGUCUAUGUACACUUACGUAUAUAUUGUAAGUGUAUAUUAUCAGACAAAAUUGUGUGCUUUGAAUGCCUCAAAGUUGUGUAAGCUUGGUGCAGUUUUACUUAUGAUAAUACAAAUAUAGUGCAGCCCUCUCCCUAAUGUUCUCCUUGCUUGUGAUAUAUGGUCCUGUGGAAUCAGUCCAGCUGUGAGACAGCGUCUAACAGAUACUUUGACAUGUCACAUCUGUAUGUAUAAUGAAAUGAAUGAUGGCUGGAUUCCAUUUAGCUGCUUCAGUUUCAGGCUCCUGGUGCUGCUCAUGAUGACUCCCUGUAAAACUCUUUUGUCUUGACUUGAGCAGAGCCAUCGUUAAUGUUAUCACUAACAGUCCUCAGUGGGGGUUGAUUACAUAUACUUACUGCUAUGCACUACCUUUGCAUUAAUUCCAAUCCAUUUGUUUCUAUUUCCUUCCUGUAUACCUGAGGUCAGGUCAUGGUGGCAGUGGGCAGGGUGUUCCAGACCCUGCUUUGCACAUUUCUCACCACAGCAAUGCUUUACCAGCUCCACUUGGGGGAUCCCAAGGGGUUCCCAUGCCAGAUUAGAUAUAUAAUCACUCCAGCAAGUUCUGGGUCUAUACCCCGGGGUCUUCUUACAGUUGGAUGUGCCAGGAAAGCUUCCAAUGGAAGGAACCCCAGAGGCAUAUUGAUAAGAUGCUCAAACCACCUCAUCUGGCUCAGCGAACCAGAUCUAGUCCUUCUCUUUACUGUGGCUCGAAGACGAGUUUACAAUCUGGACUUUGGCAUUAAUCUAGAUUGUAAAAACGUAUUAGGGGGUCAGUAAAGAGCCAGUCCUGCCUUCCCUUGGGCUCGGUACAAAAUUCUGCUGAGGGCACCUCCAACCUGACCUGCGAGCCAUGUAAACCAUUUGGACACACGGUCACAACUGACACCCCAGAACUCCCCCUACAGCCUGCCUCCUUUUAAACACUAGAUCUGUCAGUCUAAGAAUAAACUGACCCGUACAGAACAGCAUGAGGCAUAAACAAAAAAUAUAUAAAUUGCAUAGUUUCCACAGAGUCAUCACAUUAACAUAAAUAAAACGUUUUAGAAAACAUAACACAUAGAUAUUACGCUGAUCUUUGGCUCUGCUGACAGAUAUGGCUAAUGAUCCAGCAUCUCCUCUGCUGACAAACAUUUUUAAAUAUCUAAGGCUAUAAUGAUUGUUUAAUUAACUGUGUCCAUAUUGUCUAGAAUGUUGUACCAAUCAACCUUUUAAAUUCAGUAUUCAGUAUUUAAAUAUUUGGCAUCGAUAUGUUACUUCCAUUAGUCCAGGGUUUGCCUGAUUAUGUGGAGUUUAUUAAACAUUAAAAACUGCUGUAAUUCAAUCUCACUUUUGUCUGGAACAAAGUCACAGAACACAGACCUGAAGAGGAAAACCGACAGAUCAAGCUCAGCUGCUGCUCAGCUUGGUCAAUGAGACAGACUAGAGACAGACACACAUCAACCUACUGUUUGUUGACCUCAGACCUGAAGAGAACUAGUUUACCUGAAUGUUGUUCCAAAAAGUUACUCUCUCUGUAUUUGUUUUCUCUAUUCAUGACCAAAAGAAUAAUUUUGUUUCAAAGUCUCUUUGAAAUCAUUCAAUGGCCAGUAACAUCUGUGUAUUUAUACACUGUCUGUUCAAAUAAUAAAAAAAAGCUUUUUCCUUUUCAGCAAACGCAUCAUAUGUAGGUACACCUUUUCACCAUUAACUAGUUCUUUAUCAGCACUUGUAUUCAGCACAUAUUAACCCUGUUGAGGAGGUUCUGUGUUCUUGUGCCAUCUGUCUCUCAGUAGGAUUACUCAAAGGCUACUCAACAGAUAUCCAUGACAUUUUGUGGAGGGGUGGGGCGUGACCCAAGGGAGAACCAAUUGCAUUUUGGAGCAGAUCUAGAUAAACAGGCAGAUCCAGGAUUUGUUUUACUAUUUUUGAGAGGAUUAGCCUUGGUGGAGGUAUGCACUCUCUGAGCACCCUUCUAGUUAAUGUUGUGUACUGCAUAUUCCAGAUUCGCUAGGACUUUUGUGAGUUUUCCUUUAAUAAUUCCUUUAUUACUUCUUGAUGGUCAGUAAAAGGGUGUUUAUGAAUAACAGUCUUUAACUAAGGUGUUUUGAGUGCGGUCUUGCUCGUUAAUAAUUCUCUUAUUAACCUACACAGGUUUACUGUUCUAAUGUUGCCUCCUCUUCAUACUUAGAGAAUCAAACAUUAUUGCACUGAACUACAGCAAUUAAUAGACCCUGUUUUUAAGUGAUGGGUUACACCUUUUAAUGAACAGAGAUCUACUUCAGAGAUGUUCAAACAUAUCAUACUUUAUCAUUUUUGUUCAAGGUUAAGAACGAACCCUAAACCCGGAAAAAGUUUUUUUACCUGACACAAGUUUUUGAUGUGCAAAGAAUGACAACGAUUUUAAAUCAUAUCCCAAUGUAUUUGCUCUAAUACAGUGUGACAUGCUUGUAUGAAUACUGACACCAGUCAAUAUUCCAUUUCUCAGAGAGAGGCUUCAUUUAGUACCUUAAAUCUCACAUCUGAUGACAGGCUUGGCAGCAGCACCAGAGACCACAACAUCAAUUUUCAGCCCAGCCUGUGUUGUCAGAUGUAGGAUUUGGGAUAGUAGACAGUUUUUUGCUGAAAGUUCCCGAAGGUGUAUGUAAACAUGCCAUAUAUAAAUACAACUGCAAAUGAGCAAUAAAACAAUAUUUGCCAUUGUAUUUAUUUGUAAGAUAUUUUAAUUUCCAUGCUGUUACUCUUGAAUAUAUUCCUGCUAACCCUGUGUAAUAAGCUCUACUAGCCUGUCUUAACAGUUAGCCGGUUAGCAGUUUAUCACAGCCACAGUGAAUAAAUCCUCAUGUUUAAUGGAGCUACUGACCAGUAAGGGUUUAACUUUCCUCUAACUGCGAACAGCUAACUGUCAGCUUCAAGUUCACGACAAGUCUAGAUUUAAGUAGGCUGAGCGUGCUUUUAUGAUUUAUGUAUUAUUGUCCUGUUUUUAAACACUAUGUGUUCUUAGGAAGUGUGUAUGUAUAUUUGUGGUAGGCCUACUAAUACAGUACCUUAUAAGGCCCAUGUUAAGAAAAGCAUUGUGGGCAUGGAGGUGGCUCAGAGAGAACCUUCACCUGUACCAGAGGAGUAAUCAGUGCAGCAGAGGGCUGAUGGCUCAUUACUCCUCCGAUUCAAAAGGCAGCAGCAGAGCUGCCACAGAGGAGGAGCAUGGAGAAGAAACACAAAGGGCUCAUGGGAGACACUGAGGGAGACCGAGCUGAGCUGAGCUGCGAAGCCGAGGUGCCAGCAGAAAUUGCUGCCUAGUAUAAGUUGAGUUUUGAAUUUAUGUUUGGGGCAGAUUGAAGAAUAUUUCUCCAGAAAAACCAUGUGAAAACCGAGCUUUGCCAAACUAUGGAACCUUACCCUUCUCUUACUCAUGCCGACACUAAAUAUCUUUGUUUGCUCUGUGUCUCUCCCCCACACACAGUUCUGACUGAUGAGAUGGACGAGGAUUCCUCUCUAGAGAAAAACAGAUUUCUUAUCAGCUGAAGAUUGUCAGAUUUGCUCAAAGUGUUCAAUGAACUAGACCGGAAGUUGAAACUACCACUGCAGAUCCCGGAGGAGCGUGAAGCUCUGCGCUGCUGUCGGACCUGCAGUCUGCACAGCUGCAUCAGUUAGCAUAUUGUCAAUCCUGCAGUACUCCUCCUCACAUCAGUCUUCAAAGGGGACGCACAACAGCGGUUUAUCAUUGAUAAGGCCCUCUCCAUGAACAACUGACCCCAUGACCAAACGGGCACCUACUUGCAUUGAGGUGACAGUACUAACCCCCUGCACCCCAAUGCUGCCUACAGAUGGACCCAGGGCACCUGAAAGAAAUGAAAUAAUACAUUUUGUGAAUGUUGUUGCCAAGAUGGAGAUCAGCACCCAUCCCAGGUCAGUCCAUCUGUGUCAGUCCAAUAUGGUAAAAUAAAAAAAAAUUAUUAUCAAAAUGAUCUGGCAGUGAUUUAGACCUGGAGUUGGACCCAGUGGCCUGAAGAGGAAGAAGACCUGUUAAGCUCAGUCAGCGGACUGACUCUUAGCUUGCUGCCCCGCCUCCAUUGACUGCUACAGAGCGCACUUAUUUAUAAAAAAUGUCAUUAAUAUUGAAGGUACCACAUGCCCAAAUCUCACUAAACUCGACACUGCUCUUCCUUGGGUUAUUACAAAUACCAAUUGCAAGAGUGAGGCAGAUUAAAGGAAUGGUUUGUGAGAUAUGCAUUUCACUUACACACAGACAAACAGACAUUUGUGGAAUCAGUAGGUAGAUACUAACAGUAUUAUGCCUUUACAGUACACGACAGGGGUGGGGGACAUAAGCUUAUGCUGUUGCAAAGCUGCUAGAAACGAAGUAAAAAGUUCCAAAGUGUCAAUUUGUCUUGAAGAACUGACAAAUUAUGUAGGAUCAGCGUAGAGUUGGAUAUGAGUGAGGAACUACUGUCUUUGAAAGCCAUGUAUGUGUCUACCAACAGUGAGUGGGGAGGUUGUUUUGUCUAAAACGAGCUGUGAGUAGCAUCAUCAUCAUUAUCAUCAUCAUCGCUAUCAUCUCACAUCAGAUACCUCGGCAUGGAGAGGGGAUCCAGGCAUCGCAUUAGAGAGAUUUAUAUGUGUUCAAUUUUUUAGUAUGGCCCUCAAAGGAUGUUGUAAACAAUUGGAAUGGCCCUUCAUAGGAGAAAGGUUUUCUCAAGCUGGUAAACAAUGCAUUGAAUUUGAGUGCUGAUGCAGGGGUAGUUUAUUGUUCCCACGUUUUAUGAACAUGCAAUAUCAGUAUCCAUGUUCCGCUUGUCUUUAGUAGUUACUGAGUUGGGGAAAACAGUUUUUCUAUAUUCAGUUUUUAGCCUCACAUUUUAUAUACACAUUUUCUUCUGUGAGUUCUUUCAUAAAACCAGCUUCCAAUCCCAAAAGAACAGUUGAUGAACAAAAAGCUACAUCUUGACAAAAGGCUUUAAGAGACUGCAGUUGUGAUCCUUUUGCGUUUGUUUCAGAUUCAAACUAGAGAUGUUUGGUCUCAAGUAUGCAACCCUCCAGGCCCCUGCCACACCACUGUGUAGCUUUAUCAGACAUGAGAUGUUUCUAUAGGUUCAAACAGACGAGCGGUUUUGACAGAAUGGCUGCUUUUGUUUGUUCUCUCCACCCACCGUCUGCACCACAUAAACCAUCUGCUGCAGGCUUACUGAGGAAAUCCAGAGGUUAUUGGAUUGAAGACGACUUUAUGAGUCAUAUUGUGCGCAUUUUAUACAAUUCUGGAUUUCUUUUUAUAGUUCUACAUGCGCCAUCUGAAGAAUAUGAUGUGAUCGUCUGUCACUGACAGUCAUGUUGUGUAGCUUCUUACUUUGACACUUUUUUUUAAGUUAAGCACAGGUGUGAAAAUAAAGUUUCCACCAUCCACACUAGUGGAUUGUAAGUGUCUCUAACAAGCUGCUAAAGACACGUAUGCAGGCAUCAAACCUGAAAUGGUGUAAUUAUCACAUUGUAAUGUUAGAUUACACUUUUAAAUUUGAGGAUGCAUGGUUUAAUAACGUGUCAUUUCUUUCACUUCAAACUAACAGUUACACUAUUCUCUCUUCAAAAACAAGCAAACAUAGAGGGUUAAUUUUCCUGUGUGGCAUAAAACUAGUUUGUGUUCUAUUGUAGGGUGGCUGUGGCUGAGGGGUAGAGCGGUCGUCCUCCAACCUGAAGGUCGGCAGUUCGAUCCCCAGCCGAAGUGUCCUUGGACAAGAUGCUGAACCCCGAAUU
This is a long non-coding RNA of Hippoglossus stenolepis (Pacific halibut), 10179 nucleotides long. RefSeq lists it as uncharacterized. The record is from RefSeq and is a predicted model, not a curated record. The transcript has 4 exons. NCBI's taxonomy places the organism in Eukaryota, Metazoa, Chordata, Actinopteri, Pleuronectiformes, Pleuronectidae.